GACAGAGGGUGCAAACGUUGUUCGGAAUUACUGGGCGUAAAGCGCGUGUAGGCGGCUAUGCAAGUCGGGCGUGAAAGCCCUCGGCUCAACCGAGGAAGUGCACUCGAAACUGCGUAGCUAGAGUCCCGGAGAGGAAGGUGGAAUACUUGGUGUAGAGGUGAAAUUCGUAGAUAUCAAGUGGAACACCGGUGGCGAAGGCGGCCUUCUGGACGGUGACUGACGCUGAGACGCGAAAGCGUGGGGAGCGAACAGG
This 253-nucleotide ribosomal RNA is filed under the name uncultured bacterium. RNAcentral's name for it is "partial 16S ribosomal RNA". It matches the Rfam family "Bacterial small subunit ribosomal RNA", at positions 524 to 776 of the family's 1533-position model. The record is from RNAcentral.